Molecule: long non-coding RNA, 544 nt
Organism: Gossypium raimondii (Peruvian cotton)
Lineage: Eukaryota; Viridiplantae; Streptophyta; Magnoliopsida; Malvales; Malvaceae
Exons: 3
Source: RefSeq, a predicted model, not a curated record
AUCCCGCCAUUUUACCCCAAUUUUUCCCCCUGAAAUCCCUAAUCUUCAGACUUUUCUUCACUCCCGUUUUCUUCAGACUUUUCAUAUCCAGCUUCCUUCUCAUUAUCUCUCUCUCUCUCGGUUUCAUUUCAAUAUUUCCCCUCAUUCUUUUUCGUGAGGGGGAGAAAACCAAAGAUUUUGUCUGCCGUUUCUUUUUUUUUUGGUGAUAUUGAAAUCCCCUGUUUUCGAUAUUUGUUUGAAAUCUAUUGUUGUCGGCCUGUCUGUUUCUUUUUGGUUUUUUAUUUGUCUACUUUCGUGAGGGAUAAUCCCUAAGCUUUCUAUUGCAAAACUCACAGUUUCACUCUUUGUUUGAAAUCUAUUGUUGUGGGUCUGUCUGUUUCUUUUUGGUUGCUUUGUCGAAGACUGAUUUCAGUUUUCAGGUUUAGGCAUCUGAGCUUUUGGAGCCGUUCUACCUUAACUCUUUGGAUUGUCUGUUUCUUUAGACAAUUCUUUGGGUCAGUCACAAAGGUUGAUUACCUGACAUUGAGGCAUGGAUUUAUCAUGG